CGGUAACAGGAAGCAGCUUGCUGCUUCGCUGACGAGUGGCGGACGGGUGAGUAAUGUCUGGGAAGCUGCCUGAUGGAGGGGGAUAACUACUGGAAACGGUAGCUAAUACCGCAUAAUGUCGCAAGACCAAAGAGGGGGACCUUCGGGCCUCUUGCCAUCGGAUGUGCCCAGAUGGGAUUAGCUUGUUGGUGGGGUAACGGCUCACCAAGGCGACGAUCCCUAGCUGGUCUGAGAGGAUGACCAGCCACACUGGAACUGAGACACGGUCCAGACUCCUACGGGAGGCAGCAGUGGGGAAUAUUGCACAAUGGGCGCAAGCCUGAUGCAGCCAUGCCGCGUGUAUGAAGAAGGCCUUCGGGUUGUAAAGUACUUUCAGCGGGGAGGAAGGGAGUAAAGUUAAUACCUUUGCUCAUUGACGUUACCCGCAGAAGAAGCACCGGCUAACUCCGUGCCAGCAGCCGCGGUAAUACGGAGGGUGCAAGCGUUAAUCGGAAUUACUGGGCGUAAAGCGCACGCAGGCGGUUUGUUAAGUCAGAUGUGAAAUCCCCGGGCUCAACCUGGGAACUGCAUCUGAUACUGGCAAGCUUGAGUCUCGUAGAGGGGGGUAGAAUUCCAGGUGUAGCGGUGAAAUGCGUAGAGAUCUGGAGGAAUACCGGUGGCGAAGGCG
RNAcentral lists this ribosomal RNA (667 nucleotides) under uncultured Pseudomonadota bacterium. Its description in RNAcentral is "bacterial SSU rRNA". It matches the Rfam family "Bacterial small subunit ribosomal RNA", at positions 67 to 723 of the family's 1533-position model. Lineage: Bacteria; Pseudomonadati; Pseudomonadota. The record is from RNAcentral.